AUAGUAGUAGGGUCUUUUAGAUUAUAAAUAAGGGCUUGUACGAGAGUAGGAGUAAGCUGUAAGAAAAUCUAUCUUUGUUGUAUAAAGUUUAUCUAAGAAACUUGUCUAAGUCCUUUAGGAUUUAGUUGUUGGCACCUUGGUUCUUUUCUCUUGCAAUCACUUUUCUAUCAAUAAAAUUCAUCCUUCCACUUACUCAAAUUUAUUUAAUCCUCUUAUUACUACAUAUUAUCCACUUAUUACUACAUCUAUAUCCACCACUAAUCCUACUUAGAGCUACGGAAGCAGCGGUGGACCAAACACUAAUUCAUCGAAUAUCAUAAGCAAAUUACUCUACAUUUUAACAUGCUUGACGAGCCAACCCAUGUGGACUAACAACAAAAAUAACAAAGUUACGACUAUAAGAUCAUAAUGAGGAUGGGAGGCGGCCGGUAGCUAAAAAUUCAUUUAUUUAAAAGUAUAACUGCUUACAGCUCAAGGGACAGUUCUCAUAUAAUAACAUUAGUACAUAGUAGCUACAGAGGAAGAAAGGAAACAAUCAUAGUAUCAUAAUUGAUCCCAACAAGCAAAGAUACAAGAUUACUAGCAAACUUAAGAGAUUGAUAACUCACAUUUGUUAUAUCUAUGUUUGGAUCUUCCAUAGACAUGAAAACGACAUAUGAAAUCCUCAUGAUUGUAUGGAUAUAAUUAUACUCCUCAUGAUUAUUAUUUGCAA
Long non-coding RNA from Medicago truncatula (barrel medic), 712 nucleotides. RefSeq lists it as uncharacterized. The transcript is spliced from 2 exons. Lineage: Eukaryota; Viridiplantae; Streptophyta; Magnoliopsida; Fabales; Fabaceae. The record is from RefSeq and is a predicted model, not a curated record.